Molecule: transfer RNA, 72 nt
Filed under: Ovis aries (sheep)
Lineage: Eukaryota; Metazoa; Chordata; Mammalia; Artiodactyla; Bovidae
Rfam family: tRNA
About the family: Transfer RNA (tRNA) molecules are approximately 80 nucleotides in length. Their secondary structure includes four short double-helical elements and three loops (D, anti-codon, and T loops). Further hydrogen bonds mediate the characteristic L-shaped molecular structure. tRNAs have two regions of fundamental functional importance: the anti-codon, which is responsible for specific mRNA codon recognition, and the 3' end, to which the tRNAs corresponding amino acid is attached (by aminoacyl-tRNA synthetases). tRNAs cope with the degeneracy of the genetic code in two manners: having more than one tRNA (with a specific anti-codon) for a particular amino acid; and 'wobble' base-pairing, i.e. permitting non-standard base-pairing at the 3rd anti-codon position.
Source: Rfam by way of RNAcentral
UCCCUUGUAGCUCAGUCGGUAAAGAAUCUGCCUGUGAUGCAGAAGACCCGGGUUCAAUCCCUGGGUUGGGAA